GCGCGCGCACGCGGUGGUGCGGCCCCGCGGGCACAUCCCCGCCCGCGGCGCGACCCGGAAGCGCUGCGGGUCGCUUCCGGGUGAGGGGGGCUUCCGGCCGGCUGGCCCGUUAUCCCGGGGGGGUCCGGCGGGGCCCGGCUAUGUGAGCGCCGGGGCCCGCGGCCUUCUCUUCGCGGAGCUGAUUCCCGAUGUCCUGCCAUGGAGGAUGAUAGCCAGGAUGAGCUGAUAAACAAGAACGCUGCGCUAGGCAAGGGCAAGAGACAGAGCCUGGCGCUCCUCAGUGAAGCAGAAAGCAAUGGUGGAAAUAGCUGUGAUUCAGAAGAUGAUACUGGAAGUGAAGAGGAAGAAGAUGACACUGAGGAGGAGGGAGGUGAGGAGGACAAGGAAGAAAGUGAAGAUGAAGAAUUAGAAGGUAGGUCUGUUAAUGUAUUUUUACAGAAAGAAUGGGAUUAAAGCUUUCCUUCCAAAAAGUGACCAUGAAAUGUAAAUCCACAGAUGUUCUUAAGAAUGGUCACUUUCUGGUCACUUUUCUGAUGCUGCUGUUUCAGGCUUGUGUCCACAUCCUGCAGCAAUUAACAAACAAGCAAAUCCUAGUUUUUUAAAGCAUUUGUGUAUUUGAAGGCUGCCCACCAAUCAAAGGGUUGUACAGAUAGUAAAAGCAAACUUUUCCUACUCAGGUAGGAGCAGUGGCUCCUACUGUUUGUUUGUUUCCCCCCCCCCCCCCCACCUCAUGUAAAG
This 738-nucleotide long non-coding RNA is filed under the name Apteryx owenii (little spotted kiwi). RNAcentral's name for it is "lncRNA (ENSAOWG00000007468.1)". The record is from RNAcentral. Lineage: Eukaryota; Metazoa; Chordata; Aves; Apterygiformes; Apterygidae.